GCGGAUGUGGCGGAAUGGCAGACGCAGUAGACUCAAAAUCUACCGGUGGUAACAUCGUGAGGGUUCGAGUCCCUCCAUCCGCA
RNAcentral lists this transfer RNA (83 nucleotides) under Vallitalea guaymasensis. It matches the Rfam family "tRNA". From Rfam's summary of the family: Transfer RNA (tRNA) molecules are approximately 80 nucleotides in length. Lineage: Bacteria; Bacillati; Bacillota; Clostridia; Lachnospirales; Vallitaleaceae. The record is from Rfam by way of RNAcentral.